ACGGGAGGCAGCAGUGGGGAAUAUUGCACAAUGGGCGAAAGCCUGAUGCAGCGACGCCGCGUGAGUGAUGAAGUAUUUCGGUAUGUAAAGCUCUAUCGGCAGGGAAGAUAAUGACGGUACCUGACUAAGAAGCACCGGCUAAAUACGUGCCAGCAGCCGCGGUAAUACGUAUGGUGCAAGCGUUAUCCGGAUUUACUGGGUGUAAAGGGAGCGCAGGCGGUACGGCAAGUCUGAUGUGAAAGCCCGGGGCUCAACCCCGGUACUGCAUUGGAAACUGUCGAACUAGAGUGUCGGAGGGGUAAGUGGAAUUCCUAGUGUAGCGGUGAAAUGCGUAGAUAUUAGGAGGAACACCAGUGGCGAAGGCGAUCUACUGGACGAUAACUGACGCUGAGGCGCGAAAGCGUGGGGAUCAAACAGGAUUAGAUACCCUGGUA
This 434-nucleotide ribosomal RNA is filed under the name uncultured Lachnospiraceae bacterium. Its description in RNAcentral is "partial 16S ribosomal RNA". It matches the Rfam family "Bacterial small subunit ribosomal RNA", at positions 341 to 792 of the family's 1533-position model. Lineage: Bacteria; Bacillati; Bacillota; Clostridia; Lachnospirales; Lachnospiraceae. The record is from RNAcentral.